Molecule: ribosomal RNA, 598 nt
Filed under: Halisiphonia arctica
Lineage: Eukaryota; Metazoa; Cnidaria; Hydrozoa; Leptothecata; Hebellidae
Description: partial 16S ribosomal RNA
Rfam family: Bacterial large subunit ribosomal RNA
Source: RNAcentral
GCCCUAGAUAUUAUCUAAGGUGUAACCUGCCCAAUGAUUUUAAAUUAAAGAGUUAUAAAAAUUCUCUAAUAAAAUUUAAAGGACGCAGUAACCUUGACUGUGAUAAUGUAGCAUAAUCACUCGCCAUUUAAUUGAUGGAUAGUAUGAAUGGUUGAACGAAUAUUCCACUGUCUUAAAUAGAAACACCAAAAAAUUGAAAUAAUAGUUAAGAUGCUAUUUAAAAUUGUAAGACGAAAAGACCCUAUAGAGCUUAACUAUAACUUUUUUUUAAUUAUAAAAUAAAACUUUUAAAYAUAAAAAAGUUGGUAGUUUAGUUGGGGCGACUAUCUUCUAUAAAAAACGAAGAUAAGCAAAAUUAAUAAAAAAUAAUUUAUUGUAUAACUUAUUUGUUUAACAAUUAUUAAAGUAGGCUAUAAUGACCCGUUAUAUAUUUAUAAAAAUUAUAACGAUUAAUAAAUAAAAGCUACCUUAGGGAUAACAGGAUAAUUUCAUUCUAGAGACCAUAUCAAAAAUGAAGUUUGUCACCUCUAUGUUGAAUUAAGAUAUCCUGAUAAUGCAGAAGUUAUCAAAGGUAGGUCUGUUCGACCUUUAAAAUCUU